RNAcentral lists this ribosomal RNA (256 nucleotides) under uncultured bacterium. Its description in RNAcentral is "partial 16S ribosomal RNA". It matches the Rfam family "Bacterial small subunit ribosomal RNA", at positions 793 to 1055 of the family's 1533-position model. The record is from RNAcentral.
GUCCACGCCGUAAACGAUGGAUACUAGCUGUUGGGAGCAAUCUCAGUGGCUAAGCGAAAGUGAUAAGUAUCCCACCUGGGGAGUACGUUCGCAAGAAUGAAACUCAAAGGAAUUGACGGGGGCCCCGCACAAGCGGUGGAGCAUGUGGUUUAAUUCGAUGAUACGCGAGGAACCUUACCAAGGCUUAAAUGUAGAUUGACAGGACUGGAAACAGUUUUUUCUUCGGACAAUUUACAAGGUGCUGCAUGGUUGUCGU